Molecule: long non-coding RNA, 1364 nt
Organism: Rhineura floridana
Lineage: Eukaryota; Metazoa; Chordata; Lepidosauria; Squamata; Rhineuridae
Exons: 3
Source: RefSeq, a predicted model, not a curated record
UGGGAGGGGAGAGUGCUGGUUCAGCCGGCAGAGCGCAGUGGAAAGAAAAUAUAAGCAGCAAAAAAUAGGAAUUUCAGUUCAUUCAAAUGGAACUUGCUCAGAACACUUUCUGUUGUCUUUAAAUGAUGCACUUAAUUACUAAAAGGAGAAAAUGUCUUUGCAUAAUGUAGGAGCUGGAUUUAAACAGUCAAGCUGUUUCAUACACCGUGAAUGGAAAGCAGUUGGACAGCCACACAGAAGAUGAAAUCUCAUUUUGCCUAAUUGCAAGCCAGCUUUAAACAUGGCGAGUUCAAAAGUUCAGCUUCGACAUUACUGAAUGUAUGUUGAGUAUUAAGGUUGUUUCACAAUUAAAACAGAGAGAAGCGGCAUGGCAGAAACAACAAAAGGUACAGGAUAAAAUUCUGCAGUGAACUCCUGUUCACCAAGUCACCCCCUAGUUAGUGCUUUUAGAAAAUUAUACAGUCGGUGACGAGUUCUGCUCUUUUUGUGGAUAAAAAUGUAAGGCCAAUGUCAUGGCUGUUGGGAAUAUUUAAUGGAGUAAAGGAAGCAGUCUCCAUCUCUACUUGAUGGAAAUGCACCCAUUACCUCAGCCAAUUCUGAUUUAGAAAGAAUGGAAAAUUGAACUAAUCAGCUUUUUAUGUUAUAUGCAGACUUAAAAAAAAUCCUUGCCACUGAUUACCUACAGCUGAAUAUUGUUAAUGCCAAGAAGAUGCGACUACAUAAGAUAAUUUGAAUUUCUUAAUACUGUCCAGCUCCUAUAAAUCUAAUGGUGGUGUGUCUUGCAAUGACAUGGAUGGCCUGAAAGUGGCUUGAUUGGCAGAUGCUGGCAGGAAGACAAUAGUUAUGGUUGGCUGGUCUGCAAUAUGGAACAAACUGAAAGCUAGCAGAAUUUCAGCAAAGAUCAAAGAAGUUACUUUGAAAUGGCUAUACUAUGGCAUCUUAUACUAACACUGUCUCUCUGUUAUUUAGUCAGUUAGCUUUUUGGAGGAGGUUGCAAUACACAUGUGUGAUGCACCUGUUGCUUUGGAGUUUUUAGAAUCUUGUUUUUCAGGAAAUUGGAAACCAACCAAUCCCCCUUUCUCUGAUAUAGCAUGUUUGCAUUCUAUCUUUCUGGAUUUUCUCCAACAUUUAUUACAUCACGAUCCAAUAAUCUCUUUAGACAGAGCUGUGCAUCAAAUACUUGUGUAACACAGAAACCUCUCAAAUAUACACGGUAUAUUUGAGAAUAGGCAGCAGCCUAUGUAAAACUCAAAUUUGGCUAUCUUCAGGGAUUGGCUAAAGCUCAUGCUUUUUGCGUGAAGUGGAAUAAUGUUGUUUCUUAUCCUGAAAAUGAAUUUGAUUUUAUGCAGCCUCAUUUUUAUUGG